AACGAACGCUGGCGGCAGGCCUAACACAUGCAAGUCGAACGAACCGUUUACGGUGAGUGGCGCACGGGUGAGUAACACGUGGGAAUAUACAUUUCGGUAAGGAAUAACGUAGAGAAAUUUACGCUAAUACCUUAUAAUGACUACGGUCCAAAGAUUUAUCGCCGAAGGAUUAGCCCGCGUUAGAUUAGGUAGUUGGUAGGGUAAUGGCCUACCAAGCCUACGAUCUAUAGCUGGUCUUAGAGGAUGAUCAGCCACACUGGAACUGAGACACGGUCCAGACUCCUACGGGAGGCAGCAGUGAGGAAUAUUGCGCAAUGGGGGAAACCCUGACGCAGCCAUGCCGCGUGAGUGACGAAGGCCUUAGGGUUGUAAAGCUCUUUCAGAUGUAAAGAUAAUGACGGUAACAUCAGAAGAAGCUCCGGCUAAAUUCGUGCCAGCAGCCGCCGCGG
Molecule: ribosomal RNA, 449 nt
Filed under: uncultured bacterium
Lineage: Bacteria
Description: partial 16S ribosomal RNA
Rfam family: Bacterial small subunit ribosomal RNA
Source: RNAcentral